RNA transcript from Ipomoea triloba (trilobed morning glory), 1854 nucleotides. RefSeq lists it as uncharacterized. The record is from RefSeq and is a predicted model, not a curated record. Lineage: Eukaryota; Viridiplantae; Streptophyta; Magnoliopsida; Solanales; Convolvulaceae. The transcript is spliced from 8 exons.
CUUACGCAAAAAGUCGAUCGAUAAGAACGGCCGCCAUUAGUUCCUAAAAGAGUUCUGGAGCAUCUCAGUUGAUGAUGCGACCUUCAUAAACAUUUUUGUCUUCAAUCUCCCAUUCGGCCUUCCUCCUUCACGCCUCCGGCACUCCGUAUACAGUCGCACUCCAACGGCAGCAGCCCACCGGCACCAUAGAACGGCCGCCAAGCAGAUCUGAAACCAUAGAACGGCCGCAAGCCUCUGCCGACCAUUACCGCCGAAACCACCGCCGCGCCAAACCGCAAGCUUCCGCCGACUUCCAUUACCGCACGCCUCCACCCCUCCGCCGACCGCACACGCCACCGCAAGCCUCCGUCGCCCCCACCGCAAGCCUUCGCCGAUCCCACAAGCAGCUCCUUAGCUGCCGGAGAGUAUGUAGGAUUGAUGGUCAUUCCAAGUUAAAAGUGAAUGCUUUUGCAAGCAUGAAUACGACACCUUUUGUUUUGAGGUGGCCAGACAAGAGGGCCAAGGCAUUUUGAUUUCUUUAAGUUUUCUUCAUUCAAAGAUAACAGAGGAAACCCUUUGGAAUAAGAAAUUUGGGAUUAAGAAAGAACACAUAUUGCCAUGAUAUACUUUACAGUAGAUGUGUAAAAACUUGGAGGUAGAAGAUCUUGUAUCAGGUGCUCUAUAUAGCAGAUGGAGAUAACCGAGGGAUUAUAACUUGAUUGACCAUCUGUGGUUGAGGAGACACCCAUAUCUGAGAAAUCAAGAUUCGAUUUUCCAAUGGCUAAAUCCACCAAGGGCAUUGAGGGUUCACAAGACCUAGCUUCCUCAAUUGUGAACAAUCAUAAAUGUUCAGGAACUAGUAAGUUGAUUUGUUUGGAUUCUGACAAUGAGUCUGAGGAUGGUAGUGAGUUUUUUGCCCCAAAAAAGAAUGACAACAUUGGUUUCGCUGUUGAAAUGGAACGUGGAUCAAAAUUGAGCACUGGAUUUAUUCAGUCCACAUGUUUUCUUGGAACUCUUUGUUAAAUUAAAGUGUGUUGAAGACCUAGCUAGGGCCACCAUAAAGAAAUUGACUCAGGGAAUGGCUGAACAAAACAAAGAACUAGCUGCAGCUAAAAUUGAUGAAGAGAAAGCCAAGAUUUAGGAGAUAUCAGGGAUAUCAUGAAGACAAGGAGGAUCAUGAAGGGACAAGAACAAAAAUGAGAAGAUGAAUGAUGAUGAAUUAAAGUGGAGGACAAAAGCAAAGAAGAUUUGGUCCAUUUUCAUCAUUAAAGAUCAGGCAAUAAUGGAAUCAAAGAGUGAUAUUUUGAAUGGUGAUUGAUCAUAUGGAUAAACCAAAGCAAAAGUGGAACAAGUGUCUAAAAUCUGAUAUUUUCGCACAAAUUGUCCACUGUUUGGUAUUUUGACCAUAUCUCAGAGUAGGAAUAUCCAAAUUAAGUGAUCUUUGCACCGUUAAAAAGAAGACUUCAAGGGCUACAACUUUACCAUAAAUACAAAACUCAUAAUUCCGAACAGAAAAUGGAGAAAAACAGCCCGGAAGAUGAGGCUGCGUGCAGUGAUGUCAUUGCUUGCGAAAUUUUCCAUCUUCUUUCUCAUUAUGUUAUGUGAGGUCAUGGCAUAUGUAAUUCCCCAUUUCGAAAUUCAGAUGGAAUGUGAGGUCAUUGCAUAUGUAAUUGUCCAUCUUUGCUCCCUUUUGAUGCCUAUAUAAAGCCUUGUAACUCUCAAACUUGAAGAGACCAUUCCUCACCAAUUCCUUCUAUCUCCUCUCAUUCUAGCUUUCAUAUUUUAGUUUUAGUGUUGUGUUUUUCUUCAAGCAAGAGUGUAGGAGGAAACUCCAAGAGUUUGGUCUUCAAUCCAUAAGUUUUCUUGUUCCCUUUA